This is a non-coding RNA of Xyrichtys novacula (pearly razorfish), 276 nucleotides long. The record is from the annotation of a GenBank genome assembly. Lineage: Eukaryota; Metazoa; Chordata; Actinopteri; Labriformes; Labridae.
UGGAGGAGGGGGAGGAACAUGUGGGGGUGGGGGCAGCAGAGAGAGAGAGAGAGGGGGAGAAAAUUGGCCCGGUCAGAGUUGGGAUCCUCAGGGGGAAUGUACGACACAAUAGCAACUUUUUUCUUUCUCCUCUUGUAGCUGCAGCACACUCCCUAUUUUCCCUCCCUCCCUCCUCCCUCUCUUUCCUUCUCUCUCUUUUUUCCUCCUCCCCCUCUGUCUCUCUCCCUCACUCCUCCCCUCUGCUCCUUCACCGCCUCCCUCGCUUCCCCCAUUCCA